GACCAAGGAGUCUAGCAUGUGCGCGAGUCAUUGGGACUCUAAUAAACCUAAAGGCGCAAUGAAAGUAAAAGUCCGCCUUGCGCGGACCGAGGGAGGAUGGGCUCGUUUUUAAGACGAACCCCGCACUCCCGGGGCGUCUCGUUCUCAUCGCGAGAAGAGGCGCACCCAGAGCGUACACGCUGGGACCCGAAAGAUGGUGAACUAUGCCUGGUCAGGACGAAGUCAGGGGAAACCCUGAUGGAGGUCCGUAGCGAUUCUGACGUGCAAAUCGAUCGUCGGAACUGGGUAUAGGGGCGAAAGACUAAUCGAAC
This 311-nucleotide ribosomal RNA is filed under the name Tiniocellus spinipes. Its description in RNAcentral is "eukaryotic LSU rRNA". It matches the Rfam family "Eukaryotic large subunit ribosomal RNA", at positions 664 to 940 of the family's 3401-position model. Lineage: Eukaryota; Metazoa; Arthropoda; Insecta; Coleoptera; Scarabaeidae. The record is from RNAcentral.